UUUAUACUUCAAAUUUGCCCACACUAUCUCAAAAGUCUUGGGGUUGGUAAAAUUUGUUAAUAAAAUAUUUCAUAAUAAAAAUGAUUCUUUUUAAAUAAUAAUGUUUUUCAUAUUUCAAACCAUAGAGUAAGAAUAUAUCUGGUUAGUAUCAGAAGCUCUAUAAUCUUUGGUAUAAUAAUAUAGACAAUGAGCCUUUGAAAAUUACAAUGAAUCCUUCUCAUGGUUUUUAAAACGAAUGCCUCUGCCUGGGCUUCAUGGCUCAAGCUGUAAUCCCAGCACUUUGGGAGGCCAAGACCGGUGGAUCACGAGGUCAGGAGUUCAACUCUGUCUCUACUAAAAAAAUACAAAAAUUAGCUGGGCAUGGUGGCUCAUGCCUGUAAUCCCAGCUACUUGGGAGGCUGAGGUAGGAAAAUUGCUUGAAGUGAGACCCAGGAGGUGGACAUUGCAGUGAGCCAAGAUCGUACCACUGCACUCCAGCCUGGGCUACAGAGCAAGACUCCAUCUCAAAAAAAUAAAAAAUAAAAAAGGUAUUAUACGUGUUAUGAUUAUUUCAUGAAGAGAAGAGAUUUCACUCAUUAAGUCUGGUCUGAGUUGCUUUCAUUAACAUACUGUGGGAGAAGCUAUGGUGUUCUAGUUCCUAAUCUAGCAAGAAAACUUGCAUGCUUCCAACUCUUUUUUUCUUUUUUUGGAACCCUAUCACCAACACGUGGGUAAGUAUAGAGGCAUCUGCCUGAGGAUCAGAGGCCCAUGAACCAGUCAUUCCUGCUAUCCCAGCCAACAGCCAGCCAAGAGAUAUGUGAAAGAGAU
Molecule: long non-coding RNA, 807 nt
Filed under: Callithrix jacchus (white-tufted-ear marmoset)
Lineage: Eukaryota; Metazoa; Chordata; Mammalia; Primates; Cebidae
Description: lncRNA (ENSCJAG00000070861.1)
Source: RNAcentral